Small nuclear RNA from Myotis lucifugus (little brown bat), 179 nucleotides. Its record names the gene U1. It matches the Rfam family "U1 spliceosomal RNA". From Rfam's summary of the family: U1 is a small nuclear RNA (snRNA) component of the spliceosome (involved in pre-mRNA splicing). Its 5' end forms complementary base pairs with the 5' splice junction, thus defining the 5' donor site of an intron. The record is from Ensembl. Lineage: Eukaryota; Metazoa; Chordata; Mammalia; Chiroptera; Vespertilionidae.
GUACUUACCUGGCAGGGGAGAUACCAUGAUCACGACGGUGGUUUUCCCAGGGCGAGGCUUAUCCAUUGCACUCCGGAUGUGCUGACCCCUGCGAUUUCCCCAAAUGUGGGAAACUCGACUGCAUAAUUUGUGGUAGUGGGGGAAAAAAAAUAAAAAAAGAAAAGAAUAAUUGUUUCAUU